Molecule: unclassified non-coding RNA, 329 nt
Filed under: soil metagenome
Description: partial contains 5.8S ribosomal RNA, internal transcribed spacer 2, and large subunit ribosomal RNA
Rfam family: 5.8S ribosomal RNA (bases 1-120)
Source: RNAcentral
GAUGAAGAACGUAGCGAAAUGCGAUAAGUAGUGUGAAUUGCAGAAUUCAGUGAAUCAUCGAAUCUUUGAACGCACAUUGCGCCCCUUGGUAUUCCGGGGGGCAUGCCUGUUCGAGCGUCAUUACAACCCUCAAGCUCUGCUUGGUCUUGGGCGUCACCGGUCCCCGGUGUGCCUUAAAAUCAGUGGCGGCGCCAUCUGGCUCUAAGCGUAGUACAUACUCUCGCUACAGACGUCCGGUGGAUGCUGGCCAGCAACCCCCAAUUUAUCAAGGUUGACCUCGGAUCAGGUAGGGAUACCCGCUGAACUUAAGCAUAUCAAUAAGCGGAGGA